CCGGCGAUUUCCGAAUGGGGAAACCCAGUGUGUUUCGACACACUAUCAUUAACUGAAUCCAUAGGUUAAUGAGGCGAACCGGGGGAACUGAAACAUCUAAGUACCCCGAGGAAAAGAAAUCAACCGAGAUUCCCCCAGUAGCGGCGAGCGAACGGGGAGGAGCCCAGAGCCUGAAUCAGUGUGUGUGUUAGUGGAAGCGUCUGGAAAGGCGCGCGAUACAGGGUGACAGCCCCGUACACAAAAAUGCACAUGCUGUGAGCUCGAUGAGUAGGGCGGGACACGUGGUAUCCUGUCUGAAUAUGGGGGGACCAUCCUCCAAGGCUAAAUACUCCUGACUGACCGAUAGUGAACCAGUACCGUGAGGGAAAGGCGAAAAGAACCCCGGCGAGGGGAGUGAAAAAGAACCUGAAACCGUGUACGUACAAGCAGUGGGAGCCUCUUAAUGGGGUGACUGCGUACCUUUUGUAUAAUGGGUCAGCGACUUAUAUUCUGUAGCAAGGUUAACCGAAUAGGGGAGCCGAAGGGAAACCGAGUCUUAACUGGGCGUUAAGUUGCAGGGUAUAGACCCGAAACCCGGUGAUCUAGCCAUGGGCAGGUUGAAGGUUGGGUAACACUAACUGGAGGACCGAACCGACUAAUGUUGAAAAAUUAGCGGAUGACUUGUGGCUGGGGGUGAAAGGCCAAUCAAACCGGGAGAUAGCUGGUUCUCCCCGAAAGCUAUUUAGGUAGCGCCUCGUGAAUUCAUCUCCGGGGGUAGAGCACUGUUUCGGCAAGGGGGUCAUCCCGACUUACCAACCCGAUGCAAACUGCGAAUACCGGAGAAUGUUAUCACGGGAGACACACGGCGGGUGCUAACGUCCGUCGUGAAGAGGGAAACAACCCAGACCGCCAGCUAAGGUCCCAAAGUCAUGGUUAAGUGGGAAACGAUGUGGGAAGGCCCAGACAGCCAGGAUGUUGGCUUAGAAGCAGCCAUCAUUUAAAGAAAGCGUAAUAGCUCACUGGUCGAGUCGGCCUGCGCGGAAGAUGUAACGGGGCUAAACCAUGCACCGAAGCUGCGGCAGCGACACUAUGUGUUGUUGGGUAGGGGAGCGUUCUGUAAGCCUGUGAAGGUGGCCUGUGAGGGUUGCUGGAGGUAUCAGAAGUGCGAAUGCUGACAUAAGUAACGAUAAAGCGGGUGAAAAGCCCGCUCGCCGGAAGACCAAGGGUUCCUGUCCAACGUUAAUCGGGGCAGGGUGAGUCGACCCCUAAGGCGAGGCCGAAAGGCGUAGUCGAUGGGAAACAGGUUAAUAUUCCUGUACUUGGUGUUACUGCGAAGGGGGGACGGAGAAGGCUAUGUUGGCCGGGCGACGGUUGUCCCGGUUUAAGCGUGUAGGCUGGUUUUCCAGGCAAAUCCGGAAAAUCAAGGCUGAGGCGUGAUGACGAGGCACUACGGUGCUGAAGUGACAAAUGCCCUGCUUCCAGGAAAAGCCUCUAAGCAUCAGGUAACAUCAAAUCGUACCCCAAACCGACACAGGUGGUCAGGUAGAGAAUACCAAGGCGCUUGAGAGAACUCGGGUGAAGGAACUAGGCAAAAUGGUGCCGUAACUUCGGGAGAAGGCACGCUGAUAUGUAGGUGAAGCGACUUGCUCGUGGAGCUGAAAUCAGUCGAAGAUACCAGCUGGCUGCAACUGUUUAUUAAAAACACAGCACUGUGCAAACACGAAAGUGGACGUAUACGGUGUGACGCCUGCCCGGUGCCGGAAGGUUAAUUGAUGGGGUUA
Molecule: ribosomal RNA, 1760 nt
Filed under: Escherichia coli
Lineage: Bacteria; Pseudomonadati; Pseudomonadota; Gammaproteobacteria; Enterobacterales; Enterobacteriaceae
Description: partial 23S ribosomal RNA
Rfam family: Bacterial large subunit ribosomal RNA
Source: RNAcentral